RNAcentral lists this microRNA precursor (99 nucleotides) under Drosophila melanogaster (fruit fly). Its description in RNAcentral is "microRNA dme-mir-87 precursor". Its record names the gene dme-mir-87. The stretch from base 10 to 88 matches the Rfam family "mir-87 microRNA precursor family". Lineage: Eukaryota; Metazoa; Arthropoda; Insecta; Diptera; Drosophilidae. The record is from miRBase by way of RNAcentral.
AACACAUUUCAUUCGCGCCUGUAUCUUGCUGAACCGCUGCCAUUAUGGCCAACGAUCCGGUUGAGCAAAAUUUCAGGUGUGUGAGAAAUGUGUUUAGCA